RNAcentral lists this long non-coding RNA (1284 nucleotides) under Gossypium barbadense (sea-island cotton). Its description in RNAcentral is "long non-coding RNA (GBAR_LNC004609)". The record is from RNAcentral. Lineage: Eukaryota; Viridiplantae; Streptophyta; Magnoliopsida; Malvales; Malvaceae.
UGGAGUUUAAGGAGCACAUUUUAUUUUGCGAAUCUGCUCGUCUGGAAAGUUUGAAUGGUACAUUACACGAACCAAAAUUUAAUUAAAAUUGACAUAAUUAAAAACAACAUGAUUAUGAUUAAUUUACUUGGGAUCCAACUAAAAUUUAAAAUUUUUUGAGGGUGUACGGGCCCAAAUUUUCCCCGGCCUAACAACCCAAAAAAUAAUGAUAAUAUAAUUACAAAUCCAAACCCAUUACAUAUUAAACCAAAGAACCUAAAAUUUGAAGGCCCAAGUGGCCCAGAAUGUUUAAACAUUUGGAAACCCUAACCCUUGCCCCAACUUUCAGCCGCCCUUCCUCCUACCCUCCCACGUGCCGUCUGACAUCUUUCAACCUCCCAUGUCAGCCCCCGUCCCAUCGCCCCUGCACCACCUGCUCCACCGCUCAACCACCUGCAAAACACAAGGAAACACGCAAAGCAGAAAAGAAGCAGCGGAUAACACAAAACAGUAGCAAAACAUUGUAUUUCAUUCGGCUAUAAAGCCAACAAAAAACGAAUGUAACAUGAGAUUUUUCAAUAUUCAAAAGCAGACUUGAGAUCAGUACAAAAAAAAAGAUUGAGCAAUCAAAAACAAAAUACAAGCAAAAGGUUGAGAUCGAUCUCCUGUUUCGUUUUCUACUGUUUUCUAGUUUCUGUUAUUUCAUUUCUAUUUAUUAUUAUUAUUUCUUAUUUUCCUUUACAAAUCUAUUAAAUAAAAUAAAUAAAAAAAAUAAGAAGGAAGAGAAGAAAGCCUCACCGGAAACGCCCGCGGCUUCAUCGUUGGAGACUUUUCCUCCGUCGUCGGGGCUGAAAAGGGGGUGGGGAUCUUUCUUUCAUUUCUUUUCGACUAAAAAGGCUAGGAUCUCGAACUUCUUUUAGAACGUGGCAAAAUGGCCCAUUCUUGUGCAUCGCCGGCCACCGAAUACGGUGGUGGUGCAGCAAUUAGACGAUGACCCCCUUCAGCCGGAAACAAGAGGAGAGGAAGAGAAAGAUGGCUCCCUGUUUUGUUUUUUUAAACUCUAGGGUUAAAAUGAAAUAAAACAAAAAAAUUGGCCCUUUUAUACAUUUACAAAACGACACCGUUUUGGUUAGGGGCCUAGGUGCCUAAACGGCACCGUUUUGAAUACCCGCGCGCCUGACCCGGUUUGAAGGAGUGACCCGUGUGUUUUCGAAGCCCAAAUGGGUUAUUUGCGAUUAUGGUCCCUCCUUCUUUCCUGCGCCAUUUGAUUUAGUCCCGCUUUGCAUUUUCCUUUUUAAAUUUCGC